This 5190-nucleotide long non-coding RNA is filed under the name Sus scrofa (pig). RNAcentral's name for it is "lncRNA (ENSSSCG00025076368.1)". The record is from RNAcentral. Lineage: Eukaryota; Metazoa; Chordata; Mammalia; Artiodactyla; Suidae.
ACACUGGCUUGAUUUACUGUAGCUUUGUAGUAAGUUUUGAAACUAGGAAGUGUGACUACUCCAUCUUUGUUCUUCUUUUUCAAGAUUGUUUGGCUCUUCUGGGCCCAUUGCACUUAACACCUAAAUUUUAGGAUCAACUUUGAUUUCUGCAAAAAAAAGGUACCUGGGAUUUUGAAAGGUAUUGUGCUGACUCUGUAAAUCAGUCUGGGAGAUAUUGCAUUUUAACAAUAUCAAUUGUUCCAAUCCAUGAAUAUGCACUGUCUUAACACUUAUUUAGAUCUUUAAUUUUUUUCAACAAAAUUUUAUACUUUUCAAUUUAAAAGUCUUGCAUUUUUUUGUUACAUAUUACUAAGUAUUUUAUUCUUUUAGAGAGUGGGAUGGGAAUAGGGCAAGUGAAAACACCACAAAACUCACUGUUUUCACAGAGAUUUAGUCAUUUUUAUUGAAUAAAUGCUCUUCCAAUUGUUGUAAAUUGUUAAUUUGCAAAGUUUUGAAACAACCAUUCUUGCCAGUGUUCUCACUUCUUUCAUGGAGGAGUGGAUUUUCUGAAUUUUUUCUGACAUACCAGAAAUCAGAACUGUCUAUUAUUUAUACCACUGUCUUAUUUUAGUUAUCUGCCUGGUCUCCGAGGACAUUUGAGACAUCAAGGCAGGUGACUCAAACAGAGAGGUAUGACACAGAAGUUCAUCAGGUCACCAGGCAUCGUCAUGGCCAACGAGGUUAUAUUAACAGAUAUAUUGGGUUAAAGUUACCAAUAUGGAGGCCACAGGUAGGGUAGUGUCAAGGAGUCAUACUAGGAGUUGUUCCUCAGUGAACUGAAAGUCAAAGAGCCAUGAAGUGGCCAAUAAUCAGGUUUGUUUCUUGAUAGAGGCUCAAACCAAGAGGAAUAUCAUUACACCCCAAAUCUAGGAGAGACAAAUGCAUCUCAAAUGUCAACAUUAAUCAAUUCAUAGUUGUGACCUGGAGCUCGGUGUUGAGAAGACUCUAAUCACAUGUGGGCUUAGUGCCAAUCACUGAAUCAAUCAAUCAGAUCAACUAGAAAAUAAUGGCCACUCAAAUAGGGUGAAAGAGGAGAUUAAAGGGAUUAUUUAGGGAACUAUGGACAGAGUUAAAGGAAGUUAAUUAGGAGGGUCUUGUACUAUAGGCCAGAAAUAGUGAUUGCUGCUCUGAAGCCUGAACAACCUUCAUUCAGCAGGAUUGAUUAAAGAAAUGAGGGUUUUAGUGACUGAUGUAGAGUGGUUUUGUUUUUUUUUGGGGGGGGGGCACACCUGUGGCAUAUGGAGGUUCCCAGGCUAGGGGUCUAAUUGGAGCUAUAGCUGCCAGCCACAGCCACAGCCACAGCCAUGCCAGAUCUAAGCCAGAUCUGUGACCUACACCACAGCUCAUGGCAAUGCCAGAUCCUUAACCCAUUGAGCGAAGCUAGGGAUCAGACCUACAACCUCAUGGUUCCUAGUCAGAUUCGUUUCUGCUGCGCCAUGACAGGAACACCUAGAGUUCUUUUUUUGGCCACUUCUUGUACCAUAACUGAGGUAGGUUGUAAUAAAAUCCAUACUUUUCCUUAAAAAUUUCAGAAUCUCUUGAUUGUAAAUGCUUGGGUAUAUUUUUAUAGGUGAACAAAUGCAAUUUAUUAUUAACUUCUAUCAAACAUUCCAACUCCAUCUAAUAUAUGAGAGAUUCUAAAUUACCAAGGAGCUGCACUAUAGAUUUAAUUAUCUUGCUGAAUCCUUACCACAAAUAAAUCAGCAUUGCAUUGUUUGAAAGCCCCCAAGACCACUCUCACUUCUGACACUAACUGCAAAUUUGAGGGUACCCAAGAUCCACCUCAGGUUCAAUAAUUUGCUAUGACCCGCGGAACUCACUAGAAGCUCUUAUACUCACAGUUAUAAUUUACUACAGUGAAAAGAUAGACAUUAAAAUCAGCAGAGACAAGAGGCACAUAGGCCAGUGUCAGGAGAGAUCUAAGCAUGACCUUCCAGUCUUCCCAGUGGAUUUGUGGACCCUGGUAGCUUCUCUUAGAAAUGCAUGAUAGAUACAUGAAGUAUUGCCAACUAUGACCCUUACCUGAGUUUUUGUGUCCAGAGUUUUUGUUGAGGUUGGUUGUAUAGUCAUGGUUAACUGUCUGUAUGGCUGACCUUAAUUCUCCAGCCCCUUCAGAGGUCAAACUAAUAUUGCAUGGUCCAAGACCUCCCACCAUAAGUCACGUGUUGCAUAGACCAUCUGGUGUUGUCUCCAGGUUCCCAAGUAAAUAAAGACACUCUUAUCAGGCAGGAUGUCCCAAGUAUCAGAAGUUACGUCACAGGAGCCAAGGGCAAAGGCUAGCUCCUUAGACAAGUUUAAUCCUUUACCACACAAGUAUGUAGAGUUAUAGAAUCGUAAUUUAAAAAACAGAAUGGGGGAUUCCUUCAAGCAGGCAGACAUCUGAUAGGGAUUUUCCUAUUGUCCUUGUAGCUCAUUGAUAUUUAGUGUAUGUAAGAACUAUUAUACACAAAAUUUUGCAUGCUGGACAUCCUGGGAUAUGUGAGGGAAUUUCAAGGGACUUUUUACUUUACAGCUUAACUUAUAAAAAUAUCUUGUCACUAUACCUAAUUCCCACCACAAUGAAAUACAUAAGCAGCUGCUGCUAUAAAGAAAUAAAAACAAAAGCAAACAAAAACACCCUAAAUAAAGAAAUUGUUUUUACAAAAGAAUAUAAUCUGGAAAUUGAACUUCUGCUACAGUUACAAUUUACAUUAUAGCCAUGAACAAGUUCCUGUUGUGGCUCAGCAGGUUAGGAACCCAACUAGUGUUCAUGAGGAUGCAGGUUUAAUCCCUGGCCUCACUCAGUGGAUUAAGGAGCUGGUGUUGCUAUGAGCUGUGGGGUCAAAUUGGAGCUGCAGCCACCAACCUAUGCCACUGCCAUAGUAACGCCCGAUCUGAGCCAUAUUUGUGACCAACACCACAGCUCACAGCAAUGUCAGAUCGCUGACCCACUGAGCAAGGCCAGGGAUUGAACUGCAUCUUCACAGACACCGGUUGGGCUCAUUUCUGCUGAGCCACAGCAGGAAUUCCCUGUCCUUAUUCUUGAAUUAGACUUUAGUUAAGCAUGGAAUUCUAUGUCGACCAUAAUUGCCUUCAGCAUUUUCAAGAUAUUACCCCACUAUCUUGCACCUAUUGUUGUGGGUGAGAAGUCCAUUGCCAUCAUGAUUGUCUUGCCUUUAUAGGCAAGAAUCUCUUUUCUCUAUUUGCUAUUAAAGCUUUUUCUCUUUACACCUGAUGUUUUGUGGUUUCACUAUUACGUGUCCAUUUCAUUUCAUUUUUCUAGCACAAAAUUGUUUGUUCCUUCAACUUGAAGGCUCUCAUUUUUCUUCAAUCCUAGAAAAUUCUCAACCAUUUUCUAGAAUAAGGUCCUGCUGCAAGCGAUACAAAGAAACAAGCAAAGCCCAGAAAACCUCUAAGUUAGUGUGGCUUAUACAAGAUAGAAAUUUCUUUCUCACAUAAAUUAGGUCUUCCAGGUAGUGUCUGAUGAUGUCAGGGGUUCAGGGACUCUUCUAUUUUAUUGAUCCACUAUCCUCAGCAAGCACAUUCUCUACUCAAACUUAAACUAUAACAUCUGCAUUCCAGUUGCUAGGAAGGAAGAAGUACAGAGACGUGCCUACCUCCUCCUUAUAAAUACAUUUCUGGCAGUUGUAACUGCUGUUUUAGUUACAUCUCAUACAUAGUCAUAUGGUCAAUCUAGAUACAUGGGAAGCUGGCAAAUACUGUCUUUAGUUGGGCAGCUGAAUUCCCAGCUAAAACUGGGUGAUUCUAUGAAUAAGGCAGAGGGGAAGAUCGGUUCCUGGGAACAACUAGUAGUCUCAAGCAUAGCCAUUUUUAUGAUUGCAAAUUUCUCUCACAUAUUCUCUAUUAUGUCUCUCUGAAACUCUUAGUAAUGUUCUAUUCUCUUUGCCUCUUUUUAAUGUUAUUUUUGUGUUACUUUCUGUGAGAGUUCUUCAGCUCUCAUUCCAAUUUACUGAUUUCCUUCCUUCCUUCCUUCCUUCCUUCCUUCCUUCCUUCCUUCCUUCCUUCCUUCCUUUCUUUCUUUCUUCACCAUGCCUGCAGCAUAUGGAAGUUUCCAGUCCAGGAAUUGAAUCUGAGCCAUAGCUGUGAUCUACGCUACAGCUGUGGCCAGAUCCUUUAACCCACUGCUCCAGGCAAGGGAUCAAACCUGUGACUCCAUAGCAACCCAAGCUGCUGCAGUCAAAUCCCAAACCUACUGUACCACAGCAGGAACUUCAAAUACCUUCUCUCUCUUUUUAUUUUUGGCUGUACCCACAGCACAUGGAAGUUUUAGGUUCAGUUUUUUUAGUAUAGUUUUUAUUCUCUUAUGUCUCAAAUCAUUCAAGAAUACUUACUUCAUAGUCUCUUUGCUCUGUAUCUGUAAUUCUUGGGGGAUAAAUUCUGCUAACUUCUUCCCAUAGAAGACAUAGAUAUAUAGAUACAGAUAUACAACAUAUACACACGUAUGUAUGUAGAUAUCUGUAUAUAUGUGUAUGUGUGUGUACGCACAUGUGUAUUUUUUUCAUCUCAUCUUGGGUAUUUCUAUGUUUCAUGGUUGUAGGAUUGUAAAGUUUAUGAUGGAGCAAUUUUGUUUUGUCUCUACCAGUGUCCUUCACGUUUCCCUGGUUCAAACCAGUUUUUCUGUUGCUACCUCAGUUUGAGUUUCCUGCACUGUUCAUGAAUACACAUUUGGCCCCUACUCUUGCGUAUAGCUCAGUUUGGGAGGUAUUUCAUGUGGGUGGUAAUCAGUCACUUUCUCCCCUAAUUCUCAGGCUAAUGGGAGGAUAUAUUCUAAAAUACUUUUCACAGCACAAAAGCUAUUCUGGAAUCCUGGUUCUAUGCUCAGCUCCAACUCCACUGCUCUUGGGAUCUCAAUUCCCCUUCCAGCUCAGCUCAGCUAUUAAAAUCCCAGGUCCUGGAGUUCCUGUAGCAGUUCAGUGGAAAUGAACCCAACUAGUAUCCACGAGGAUGCAGGUUCAAUUGUUCUAUCCCUGGCCUCAUUCAGUGGGUUAAUGAUCCGGUAUUGCUGAGAGCUGUGGUGUAGGUUGAAGUCAUGGCUCAGAUCAAGCACUGCUGUGGCUGUGGCAUAGGCUGGCCCCCAGCCUGGGAAUUUCCAUAUGCCAUAGUUCUAGCCCUUAAAAAAGAAAUUAAAAAAAAAAAAAAGGAAAAAAAAAA